This 73-nucleotide transfer RNA is filed under the name Synechococcus sp. Nb3U1. Its description in RNAcentral is "tRNA-Trp". It matches the Rfam family "tRNA". From Rfam's summary of the family: Transfer RNA (tRNA) molecules are approximately 80 nucleotides in length. Lineage: Bacteria; Bacillati; Cyanobacteriota; Cyanophyceae; Synechococcales; Synechococcaceae. The record is from RNAcentral. RNAcentral also lists the same sequence under 2 other names.
GCGUCCUUAGUUCAGUUGGUAGAACGUCGGUCUCCAAAACCGGAUGUCGUGGGUUCAAGUCCUACAGGACGCG